Molecule: ribosomal RNA, 445 nt
Filed under: uncultured bacterium
Lineage: Bacteria
Description: partial 16S ribosomal RNA
Rfam family: Bacterial small subunit ribosomal RNA
Source: RNAcentral
GUGAGGAAUAUUGGACAAUGGGCGCAAGCCUGAUCCAGCCAUGCCACGUGCAGGAAGACGCAUCUAUGGUGUGUAAACUGCUUUUGUACGGGAAGAAACACUCCCUCGCGAGGGAGCUUGACGGUACCGUAAGAAUAAGGAUCGGCUAACUCCGUGCCAGCAGCCGCGGUAAUACGGAGGAUCCAAGCGUUAUCCGGAAUCAUUGGGUUUAAAGGGUCCGUAGGCGGUUUAAUAAGUCAGUGGUGAAAGCCCAUCGCUCAACGAUGGAACGGCCAUUGAUACUGUUAGACUUGAAUUACAAGGAAGUAACUAGAAUAUGUAGUGUAGCGGUGAAAUGCUUAGAUAUUACAUGGAAUACCAAUUGCGAAGGCAGGUUACUACUUGUGGAUUGACGCUGAUGGACGAAAGCGUGGGGAGCGAACAGGAUUAGGUACCCCUGUAGUCC